RNAcentral lists this transfer RNA (67 nucleotides) under Hymenocera picta. RNAcentral describes it as "tRNA-Ser". Lineage: Eukaryota; Metazoa; Arthropoda; Malacostraca; Decapoda; Palaemonidae. The record is from RNAcentral.
GGGGCAAUAAGAAAGAGAAGAAGCUUCUAACUUCAAUCUCGGGCAGUUAAAGUCUGCCCUUACCCCU